GAUGAAGAACGCAGCGAAAUGCGAUACGUAAUGUGAAUUGCAGAAUUCAGUGAAUCAUCGAGUCUUUGAACGCACAUUGCGCCUCCUGGUAUUCCGGGGGGCAUGCCUGUCCGAGCGUCAUUGCUGCCCUCAAGCACGGCUUGUGUGUUGGGCCUCCGUCCUCCUCCCGGGGGACGGGCCCGAAAGGCAGCGGCGGCACCGCGUCCGGUCCUCGAGCGUAUGGGGCUUCGUCACCCGCUCUUGUAGGCCCGGCCGGCGCUUGCCGACACAUCAAUCUUUUUUCCAGGUUGACCUCGGAUCAGGUAGGGAUACCCGCUGAACUUAAGCAUAUCAAUAAGCGGAGGA
Molecule: unclassified non-coding RNA, 345 nt
Filed under: soil metagenome
Description: partial contains 5.8S ribosomal RNA, internal transcribed spacer 2, and large subunit ribosomal RNA
Rfam family: 5.8S ribosomal RNA (bases 1-120)
Source: RNAcentral